CGUGCUUAACACAUGCAAGUCGAACGAUGAUGCUCCAGCUUGCUGGGGUGGAUUAGUGGCGAACGGGUGAGUAACACGUGAGUAACCUGCCCUUCACUUUGGGAUAAGCCUUGGAAACGGGGUCUAAUACCGGGUAUACACAUUCUGCCGCAUGGUGGUGUGUGGAAAGCUUUUGUGGUGAGGGAUGGACUCGCGGCCUAUCAGCUUGAUGGUGGGGUAGUGGCCUACCAUGGCUUUGACGGGUAGCCGGCCUGAGAGGGUGACCGGCCACACUGGGACUGAGACACGGCCCAGACUCCUACGGGAGGCAGCAGUGGGGAAUAUUGCACAAUGGGCGGAAGCCUGAUGCAGCGACGCCGCGUGGGGGAUGAAGGCUUUCGGGUCGUAAACUCCUUUCAGCAGGGACGAAGCUUUUUGUGACGGUACCUGCAGAAGAAGCACCGGCUAACUACGUGCCAGCAGCCGCGGUAAUACGUAGGGUGCGAGCGUUGUCCGGAAUUAUUGGGCGUAAAGAGCUUGUAGGCGGUUUGUCGCGUCUGCCGUGAAAGCCCAGGGCUUAACCCUGGGUCUGCGGUGGGUACGGGCAGACUAGAGUGUGGUAGGGGAGACUGGAAUUCCUGGUGUAGCGGUGAAAUGCGCAGAUAUCAGGAGGAACACCGAUGGCGAAGGCAGGUCUCUGGGCCACUACUGACGCUGAGAAGCGAAAGCAUGGGGAGCAAACAGGAUUAGAUACCCUGGUAGUCCAUGCCGUAAACGUUGGGAACUAGGUGUG
This 772-nucleotide ribosomal RNA is filed under the name Dermacoccus sp. RNAcentral's name for it is "bacterial SSU rRNA". It matches the Rfam family "Bacterial small subunit ribosomal RNA", at positions 43 to 824 of the family's 1533-position model. The record is from RNAcentral. Lineage: Bacteria; Bacillati; Actinomycetota; Actinomycetes; Micrococcales; Dermacoccaceae.